Molecule: non-coding RNA, 100 nt
Filed under: Paenibacillus sp.
Lineage: Bacteria; Bacillati; Bacillota; Bacilli; Caryophanales; Paenibacillaceae
Also listed under: 1 other name
Description: Guanine sequence
Rfam family: Purine riboswitch aptamer
About the family: Riboswitches are metabolite binding domains within certain messenger RNAs that serve as precision sensors for their corresponding targets. Allosteric rearrangement of mRNA structure is mediated by ligand binding, and this results in modulation of gene expression. A class of riboswitches that selectively recognises guanine and becomes saturated at concentrations as low as 5 nM.
Source: RNAcentral
UUCAUAUGCAAAGCUGUGGUUCGUAUAUCCUCAAUAAUACGGUUUGAGGGUUUCUACAAGGGACCGUAAAUCCCGGGCUACGAAUAGGAGGAUUCGUGUA